RNAcentral lists this ribosomal RNA (615 nucleotides) under Triticum aestivum (bread wheat). Its description in RNAcentral is "partial small subunit ribosomal RNA". The record is from RNAcentral. Lineage: Eukaryota; Viridiplantae; Streptophyta; Magnoliopsida; Poales; Poaceae.
AUGAUGGACAUUGCGGGGCUGAUCAUGGUACACCCUUACUUCUGGGGAGCCAAGCGGCUGCCCUCGGAGCUCGCGUGGGCGGACGACAGCGAGGGCGCCGCGGCGGUGUUCCCGCCGUACGGGGUGGACCGGCUGUGGCCGUUCGUCACGGCCGGCCUGGCCGGCAACGACGACCACCGGAUCGACCCUCCAGCCUCAGAGAUCAAAUCGCUGGCCUGCCGCCGCGUGCUCAUGGCCGUAGCCGGGAAGGACACUCUGCGGGAGCGCGGCCUCGACCUGGCGGCCCGUAUGCGUGAUCACGACGCACCAUGGCCUUGGAUGAUGCAGGGGCACCGCGAGGUGACGGUAGUGGAGUCGGAGGGCGAGGACCACGGCUUCCACCUCUACAGUCCUCUGAGAGCCACAAGCAAGAGGCUCAUGGGGAGCAUCGUGGAGUUCAUAAACCAGCGGCCCAACUCGUCGCUUGCUAAUCGUAUGGUGCUUGGCGUGCCCACGACGCCGUUCAAGGACGUGUUUGGGUAUGGCAUGGCCAUGAAGUCCUGGGGCACACGGUCCAGUAUGCCACGUAACGGUGCUGCGGUUCCGUGGACUCGUGUGAUCAACAUUUUUUUCUAG